This 254-nucleotide ribosomal RNA is filed under the name uncultured bacterium. RNAcentral describes it as "partial 16S ribosomal RNA". It matches the Rfam family "Bacterial small subunit ribosomal RNA", at positions 524 to 776 of the family's 1533-position model. The record is from RNAcentral.
GACGUAGGGGGGCGAGCGUUGUCCGGAUUCAUUGGGCGUAAAGCGCGCGCAGGCGGCUCGGAUAGUCGGGUGUGAAAACCCGGGGCUCAACCCCGGGCCUGCAUUCGAUACUGCCGGGCUAGAGGCAGGUAGGGGAGAGUGGAAUUCCUGGUGUAGCGGUGAAAUGCGCAGAUAUCAGGAGGAACACCAAUAGCGAAGGCAGCUCGCUGGGACGUUACUGACACUGAGGCGCGAAAGCGUGGGGAGCGAACAGG